AGAGUUUGAUCAUGGCUCAGGAUUAACGCUGGCGGCGUGCAUAACACAUGCAAGUCGAACGAUGAAACUUAGUAGACUUCUUCGGAAAGACACUAAGCGGAUUAGUGGCGAACGGGUGAGUAACGCGUGAGUAACCUGCCUUACACAAGGGGAUAGCCUUUGGAAACGAAGAAUAAUACCCUAUAAAACCAUAAAAGCACAUGCUAGAAUGGUCAAAGUGAUAGCGGUGUAAGAUGGACUUGCGUCUGAUUAGCUAGUUGGUGAGAUAAAAGCUCACCAAGGCAACGAUCAGUAGCCGGCUUGAGAGAGUGUACGGCCACAUUGGGACUGAGACACGGCCCAGACUCCUACGGGAGGCAGC
This 361-nucleotide ribosomal RNA is filed under the name uncultured bacterium. RNAcentral's name for it is "bacterial SSU rRNA". It matches the Rfam family "Bacterial small subunit ribosomal RNA", at positions 8 to 352 of the family's 1533-position model. The record is from RNAcentral.